This 501-nucleotide ribosomal RNA is filed under the name uncultured bacterium. RNAcentral describes it as "partial 16S ribosomal RNA". It matches the Rfam family "Bacterial small subunit ribosomal RNA", at positions 30 to 523 of the family's 1533-position model. The record is from RNAcentral.
AUUGAACGCUGGCGGCAGGCUUAACACAUGCAAGUCGAGCGGAGAUGAGGUGCUUGCACCUUGUCUUAGCGGCGGACGGGUGAGUAAUGCUUAGGAAUCCGCCUAUUAGUGGGGGACAACAUUCCGAAAGGAAUGCUAAUACCGCAUACGUCCUACGGGAGAAAGCAGGGGAUCUUCGGACCUUGCGCUAAUAGAUGAGCCUAAGUCGGAUUAGCUAGUUGGUGGGGUAAAGGCCUACCAAGGCGACGAUCUGUAGCGGGUCUGAGAGGAUGAUCCGCCACACUGGGACUGAGACACGGCCCAGACUCCUACGGGAGGCAGCAGUGGGGAAUAUUGGACAAUGGGGGGAACCCUGAUCCAGCCAUGCCGCGUGUGUGGAGAAGGCCUUAUGGUUGUAAAGCACUUUAAGCGAGGAGGAGGCUACUGAGACUAAUACUCUUGGAUAGUGGACGUUACUCGCAGAAUAAGCACCGGCUAACUCUGUGCCAGCCGCCGCCGUAA